GGGGUUCUAGCUCAUCGGUAGAGCGCUCGCUUCGCAUUCCGACGAAUUGGAUAACUUGCGAGAGGUGAAGGGUUCGACUCCCUUGUGCUCCA
Tulasnella sp. 427 is the source of this 92-nucleotide non-coding RNA. Lineage: Eukaryota; Fungi; Basidiomycota; Agaricomycetes; Cantharellales; Tulasnellaceae. The record is from the annotation of a GenBank genome assembly.